UACGUAGGGUGCGAGCGUUAAUCGGAAUUACUGGGCGUAAAGCGUGCGCAGGCGGUUGGUUAAGUCUGAUGUGAAAGCCCCGAGCUCAACUUGGGAAUGGCAUUGGAAACUGGCUGGCUAGAGUGUGGCAGAGGGGGGUGGAAUUCCGCGUGUAGCAGUGAAAUGCGUAGAGAUGCGGAGGAACACCGAUGGCGAAGGCAGCCCCCGGGGCGGACACUGACGCUCAGGCACGAAAGCGUGGGGAGCAAACAGG
This 253-nucleotide ribosomal RNA is filed under the name uncultured bacterium. Its description in RNAcentral is "partial 16S ribosomal RNA". It matches the Rfam family "Bacterial small subunit ribosomal RNA", at positions 524 to 776 of the family's 1533-position model. The record is from RNAcentral.